Molecule: ribosomal RNA, 253 nt
Filed under: uncultured bacterium
Lineage: Bacteria
Description: partial 16S ribosomal RNA
Rfam family: Bacterial small subunit ribosomal RNA
Source: RNAcentral
UACAGAGGGUGCGAGCGUUGUCCGGAAUCACUGGGCGUAAAGGGCGCGUAGGCGGUUUUUUAAGUCGGGGGUGAAAUGCUGCGGCUCAACCGCAGCGCUGCCUUCGAGACUGCAAGACUGGAGCACGGUAGAGGCGGAUGGAAUUCCCGGUGUAGCGGUGGAAUGCGUAGAGAUCGGGAAGAACACCAAUGGCGAAGGCAGUCCGCUGGGCCGUUGCUGACGCUGAGGCGCGACAGCGUGGGGAGCAAACAGG